CCUACGGGUGGCAGCAGUGGGGAAUAUUGCACAAUGGGCGCAAGCCUGAUGCAGCCAUGCCGCGUGUGUGAAGAAGGCCUUUGGGUUGUAAAGCACUUUCAGCGGGGAGGAAGGCGGUGAGGUUAAUAACCUCAUCGAUUGACGUUACCCGCAGAAGAAGCACCGGCUAACUCCGUGCCAGCAGCCGCGGUAAUACGGAGGGUGCAAGCGUUAAUCGGAAUUACUGGGCGUAAAGCGCACGCAGGCGGUCUGUCAAGUCGGAUGUGAAAUCCCCGGGCUCAACCUGGGAACUGCAUUCGAAACUGGCAGGCUAGAGUCUUGUAGAGGGGGGUAGAAUUCCAGGUGUAGCGGUGAAAUGCGUAGAGAUCUGGAGGAAUACCGGUGGCGAAGGCGGCCCCCUGGACAAAGACUGACGCUCAGGUGCGAAAGCGUGGGGAGCAAACAGGAUUAGAUACCCGAGUAGUC
RNAcentral lists this ribosomal RNA (465 nucleotides) under uncultured Klebsiella sp. RNAcentral's name for it is "bacterial SSU rRNA". It matches the Rfam family "Bacterial small subunit ribosomal RNA", at positions 338 to 795 of the family's 1533-position model. Lineage: Bacteria; Pseudomonadati; Pseudomonadota; Gammaproteobacteria; Enterobacterales; Enterobacteriaceae. The record is from RNAcentral.